This 253-nucleotide ribosomal RNA is filed under the name uncultured bacterium. RNAcentral describes it as "partial 16S ribosomal RNA". It matches the Rfam family "Bacterial small subunit ribosomal RNA", at positions 524 to 776 of the family's 1533-position model. The record is from RNAcentral.
UACGGAGGGUGCAAGCGUUGCUCGGAAUUAUUGGGCGUAAAGGGCAGGUAGGUGGUCUCGUUUGUCUGGGGUGAAAGCCUUGAGCUUAACUCAAGAAGUGCCUCAGAAACGGCGAGACUAGAGUUCUGGAGAGGGUCGUGGAAUUCCCGGUGUAGCGGUGAAAUGCGUAGAGAUCGGGGGGAACACCAGAGGCGAAAGCGGCGACCUGGACAGAUACUGACACUCAACUGCGAAAGCGUGGGGAGCAAACAGG